Long non-coding RNA from Gavia stellata (red-throated loon), 351 nucleotides. RefSeq lists it as uncharacterized. Lineage: Eukaryota; Metazoa; Chordata; Aves; Gaviiformes; Gaviidae. The record is from RefSeq and is a predicted model, not a curated record. The transcript has 3 exons.
UUGACUGUCCACGGCUAAAGUUUUCUGAAAUUCCUCAGAGACUCACUAACCUGCUGCUGCCACCAGACCCUAUAGUGAUAAACCAUAUCAUCAGUGUUGACCCCAACGAUCAGAAGAAGACGGCUUGUUAUGACAUAGAUGUAGAAGUUGAAGACCCAUUAAAGGGACAGAUGAGUAGUUUUCUUCUCUCGACAGCUAACCAACAGGAGAUUACAGCAUUGGACAACAAGAUUCAUGAGACAAUCGAAUCCAUAAAUCAGUUAAAAAUACAACGUGAUUUCAUGCUGAGUUUCUCCAAAGAUCCCAAAGGAUACAUCCAAGACCUUCUCCGGUCCCAAAGUAGGGAUCUUA